Molecule: transfer RNA, 75 nt
Filed under: Candidatus Gottesmanbacteria bacterium RIFCSPLOWO2_01_FULL_48_11
Lineage: Bacteria; Candidatus Gottesmaniibacteriota
Description: tRNA-Ile
Rfam family: tRNA
About the family: Transfer RNA (tRNA) molecules are approximately 80 nucleotides in length.
Source: RNAcentral
GGGUGACUAGUUCAGCGGUAGAACGCUUUCCUGAUAAGAAAGAGGCGCAUGGUCCGACUCCAUGGUCACCCACUA